AUGGUGAUCAAUGCUACGCCACCAGCGCAUACAGCCAGCGCCCUAGCUAAAGAGGAGCUGAGCUGGGUCGCUCCUGCUACAGGAUGGACCAAGUUGAACACGGACGGAAGCUUCAUACCGGCUACAGGUAUGGCAGGAGGUGGGAUGAUCCUCCGGGACACUCAGGGAAACAUCAUAUUUAGCGCUUGCCGUGAACUCCGUACUUGUGGUAACGCGCUGGGCGCCGAGCUCACGGCGUGUAGGGAGGGGCUGGAGCUAGCCCUCCACCGGACGACGCUGCCAAUUUCGGUAGAACUAGAUAGUUCUGAGGCAGUGUCGCUGAUCAUAGCAAAUUCCGAUGAUAGAUCAGUAUAUCACUUCGUGAUCCAGGAGAUUAAAAGCUUGGCCUCAACUGAGGAUAGGGAGAUUUCUUUUACUCUUUGUCGUCCUUCGGAGAAUAAGGUUAGCCAUGAACUUGCUGCUUAUGGCCGUAGUACCUCCAGAACCGCAGUGUGGUUGCACUUGGGGUUAGAUUUCAUUGUAAUCUUGGUUGUGGCUGAGAGGCCCCCCGUGAGUAAUGAAAAUAUUCUUUACCCCCGCAUAAAAAAAAAGAAUACCGUGCUUGUGGUCGUUCGGGCUACCGCACGUCCCGCCCGAACGGCCUGCCAGCUGGGCUACGUAGGCAUGUGUCUUCCGAGCUGGGCCUUCAUGGUGAACCUGCAAAAAGUAAAGACUAAAUACCAACAGUAA
Molecule: ribosomal RNA, 729 nt
Filed under: Triticum aestivum (bread wheat)
Lineage: Eukaryota; Viridiplantae; Streptophyta; Magnoliopsida; Poales; Poaceae
Description: partial small subunit ribosomal RNA
Source: RNAcentral